Molecule: long non-coding RNA, 3396 nt
Organism: Phasianus colchicus (ring-necked pheasant)
Lineage: Eukaryota; Metazoa; Chordata; Aves; Galliformes; Phasianidae
Source: RefSeq, a predicted model, not a curated record
UUCUGGUAUGGGAGGUGUUUUUGCUAUAGAUUUUUGGCUGGAUAUAGAAGAUUAUCAAGGAUUAAAUUCUUCCUCCCUAGAUUUAACUACCAAUAUCAAGUGCGUAGUAUAGGGAAGCUGACUCGACCUUACAUGAAGUUAAUUAGAGGAAAAAUUUUCAUGCUCUACAGGUGCAUGUAGGGGGAACCAAAAGUUGCUGAAUUAAAAGCAAUCUUUUCUUUCCUUCAGUGUCUAUGGCUGAGGGAAUAAGACCAGCAGUGAUAAGAAUGAAAUAGCAAAGGCUCUGAAGCAGCAUGAAGCAAUGAACAAUCCUCACUUUGAAAACCUUAUAGUGAAGAAGCUUUCCAAUGCUGCUGUCAAAAUUGUCAUUCCCCACCAGAUGCCCUAAGUUCCUACUGCUCCCCGCUGGUACUGCUGCCCCUGUUGUCUCUCCGUCCAAAGAGUUUCAGAACAAGAGACAAGCUUUUAUGGAGCCUGGCAAAGCUUCAGAAGGGAAAAGGAAAAAUCGAUACUGCUUCAAAGCCAAGUAUUUGCUUCAGUGAAUAUGACAUUUGCCCUUUCUUCACUAGGGGGAAAAACAACAAGGACACUUAGGCCGGCAAUGGAAAUAGAAUGAACAACAGAGAGACCUUCCAGAUUUGACAUGUAAAGGGAAAUAACUUUGUAGUUAUUGUCCCUGUUUGGUGACAUCAAAAACAGGUGUAGAGUGUAAGGCGGUGCAGGCUGAGAAUGAAGUGGAAAGUAACACAAAGUCAAAGAGAAGAGUUGAAGGAAUUUGGAACAAGUGAUAAUGGACUUGGCUGAAAAGAUGGAGAAUGAAAGACACUGCGCAAAGGUGAAGUCCAUUGUUGUACAAUCAAAUUAACUAUUAAAUGUCAGCUGCAAAGGUGCGCCAUAAUAUUAAAAGGACCUUCCAGUAAGUUUUACACCAUUUUGACAGCUUUACAGCUACUGAAAAUGUCCAUAGAACCUCACAGUUUGCUAAUGAAAGGCCUCUCCGUAAGGAUGAAGCAGUUCAGAAACUUUGAAAGAGAAGCUGGGAAUACCAAUUAAAGAAAUGCAAAAUCAAAACAAGCUUGAAAAACACUCAUAUUUUUGGAGGAUUAAAAAAGAAUUAAACUACAUAUAAGCCUUAGAAGCCUGCUCUAAUUCUUUUUGACAUCCAGGUUUUCAUUAAUUUAAUUCUACAGCUGGUUAUAACUCCCUGAUUCCAUUCUAUUUUGACUAUGCCAAUCCUAAGCUAGUUUUCCAAGUUGUGUUUUUAGAUGUUUCUAAUUUGUGUCAUUCACUAUAUGGAAUUUUAUGGACCUGUUUGCUACUGAAAUAAGAUUCGUCAUUUAAAUGUUGUGUCAUUGCUCAAAAAUAUUUUUUUCCUUAUGUGAAGCUGUGCCUUCAGCUGCUACCAGCAGGGUUAAUUUGCAGCACCUAAAAUCCCUGCUGAGUGGGUCAGCUGCUGCUGUUGCAGUCAGGAAACGGAGCAGGCAUCAUCCUUGGUGAAUCAAAUAGCAUGACUUCUGAGGAGCAUAGGUGUAGUGCAGCAGGACAGUCAUGUACUCAUACUCUGACCCCUGUACUGCUGCUGGGUGAGAGUUCUGCAGCUACAGAAUCAAUAAAAAUGUAUUGAUUUCUCUGUACUGUCAUAAAGCUUGUCUGCUCUCAUCUCCAGUUUGCAAGCAGAAGGAGAAGACUGUAAAACUACAAUUGUCUUAGGCUUUCUUUCACCUCCUCCAUUCCAUGCUCGUUACUCCAGAGACCAAGAUCUGUUUCUGACAUGCUGCCCCAGCUGCUCUAUUAGCAUCCCACUCUUUUAACACUUUGUGUUGGAAAAAUAGCUGGUUUUGAAACCAAGUGCAGGGGGAUUGCCUUAAAGACUAAAGGUGAGUGACUUCUCUGGAGCUUAACACAUCCCACUGCAUGCAGAAAAGGGUAGCCAAGGACAGAUAAUGUGAUGAGGAGUUCAUUGUCUCUUUAGGUAUUGCAGGUUCCCUUAAGGUUUAUUUUCUAGGCAGUUUCAGAUCCCUUUGAAACUGAUGUUUUCUGUUCUUGGAGGAAGGUGUGUAGUGAUCAUUGAUAUGAAGAAUGUAGGAAUGUCCUCCAUUGCUGGUAAAUAAUAUUUAACUUCAUAGCAACUGUCACCUAAAACCGUAUCUGUCAAAAGGCAGCUGUGCAGAUAUGUGCAAUUCGUGUUCAUGCAGAUUAUUUGGGAAGCUUGGCUUCAAGCUUCUGGGAUAGAUGCAACAAUUUGUCAGUUGUAUAAUCAAUUGAUUAAAUCCCAAAGUCCUGAUAAAAUGCAGAAUGCAGUCAUGGAACGAACAGGCUGGAAAAGAUUCACCUAAAAGACAGAAGUACAAGACCCCUGCACAUUGUUGAGUACAGUUUGAUAUUUCCAUGAUUUCACUGCCUGACCUGCAGUAUCACUAAACAAUAUUUAUAAUAUAAUAUCUGUAAUGUUAGAAUAUUACAGAUCAACAACAACAAAAAAGCAUCAAAGGGGUGCGUCUUGCAGCAUUUAAAAGCAUCAGCCUUGGAUCCUUUUGUUUCUAUGGAGAAUGAGGACUUUGACACUCAAUUGUUUCUAUCGAUAAGGUCCCCAGCUGCACCAAUUUUGAUAGAAAUAUUUGCAGAGCAGCAGAGUACAUACACACGUGACCAGUGGUCACAUGUGAGUGAUACACACACGUGACUACUGGUCAAAUGACCGACUGUGCCUCUAUCAUUGUCAAUAUUUAAAUUAUGUGUUACUUAAUGUAAGAUAAUUGUGGCACACAAAGUAGGCAGUGCUUUCUCCUCUACCAGCUGAAGGGCAAGGCAGACCUGCUGACAAGUAGGAAAAUCCAGGUUUAUCAGCCCUACUGCUUUAGUGACUUUCCUUGUAUUGAUGCUUCAAUCAAAUAAUGCUAACAAUGUGAUGUUUUAAAUGUAUGCUGUUGGGCUGUUUUAUGCAGGAUGUUGAGUCAGACUCACACAUAGUGUUAUUACUGAGGUCUGCAACUGCAGACCCAGAGAAGGAAAAGGGAAAAUUCCUUUGUGAGCAGUUAGGAAGGAAAUAUAGGUGGGUCCCUAGAAGGGUGUUCUCUGGGGGAUCUUUGCAGAUCGGCUGGCAGUGAGAAUGAAGAGAAAAAUAAGAAUGUCUUUGGCAUGUUUUUCCAGAAUAUAUUGUAUGGUUUUGUUGGUACUUUUUUUUUUUUUCUUCCUAGUGGGAUCAUAUCAAAAUCCCUAUUGGAUUUUCCUGUUAGUGGUAUAAUUACACUAGAGCAUGGUAGCAAGAUAAAGUAUUGUGCGUUGGUCACUAAUGUGCUGGUAUAUUUUCUGAUAAUAUUUCAGUAUUCAGUUGACUUGUGCAUUAUGCUUAAUUGUUUUUAACAUAAAGUAACAUAUACAAUAGGAGGUAAGAAA